This 86-nucleotide transfer RNA is filed under the name Oscillospiraceae bacterium. Its description in RNAcentral is "tRNA-Ser". It matches the Rfam family "tRNA". Rfam says of the family: Transfer RNA (tRNA) molecules are approximately 80 nucleotides in length. Their secondary structure includes four short double-helical elements and three loops (D, anti-codon, and T loops). Lineage: Bacteria; Bacillati; Bacillota; Clostridia; Eubacteriales; Oscillospiraceae. The record is from RNAcentral.
GGAGGUCUGCCGUAACGGUAGCGGAGCGGCUUGCUAAGCCGUCCAGGAGCAAUCCUGUGUGGGUUCGAGUCCCACGGCCUCCGCCA